ACCUACGGGGGGCAGCAGUGGGUGAUAUUUCACAAUUUUUCCACCCUGAUGCAGCGACGCCGCGUGAGUGAAGAAGUAUUUCGGUACGUAAAGCUCUAUCAGCAGGGAAGAAUAAUGACGGUACCUGACUAAGAAGCCCCGGCUAACUACGUGCCAGCAGCCGCGGUAAUACGUAGGGGGCAAGCGUUAUCCGGAUUUACUGGGUGUAAAGGGAGCGCAGGCGGCUUGGCAAGUCUGAUGUGAAAGGCUGGGGCUCAACCCCAGGACUGCAUUGGAAACUGUUAGGCUGGAGUGUCGGAGAGGGA
This 305-nucleotide ribosomal RNA is filed under the name uncultured bacterium. RNAcentral's name for it is "bacterial SSU rRNA". It matches the Rfam family "Bacterial small subunit ribosomal RNA", at positions 337 to 659 of the family's 1533-position model. The record is from RNAcentral.